This 268-nucleotide ribosomal RNA is filed under the name uncultured bacterium. RNAcentral describes it as "partial 16S ribosomal RNA". It matches the Rfam family "Bacterial small subunit ribosomal RNA", at positions 87 to 354 of the family's 1533-position model. The record is from RNAcentral.
CCCGGCGACCGGCGCACGGGUGAGUAAACACGUAUGGAACCUGCCCGCAGCAGGGGGAUAAGCGGAAGAAAUUCCGUCUAAUACCGCGUAACACCGCAGAGGGGCAUCCCUCGGCGGUUAAAGAUUCAUCGGCUGCGGAUGGCCAUGCGGCGCAUUAGCUAGUCGGCGGGGUAACGGCCCACCGAGGCGACGAUGCGUAGGGGUUCUGAGAGGAAGGUCCCCCACACUGGUACUGAGACACGGACCAGACUCCUACGGAAGGCAGCAG